AAACCAUGAUGUGGGCACUUCCUCAUCAAUUCCUUGUAUCCUCCCAAGCCUCAUACAACGACUCGGCUUCAUCUUGUAGAAACGAUUGAUAUCAUUUCUCAACUU
Pistacia vera is the source of this 105-nucleotide small nucleolar RNA. The record is from RefSeq and is a predicted model, not a curated record. Lineage: Eukaryota; Viridiplantae; Streptophyta; Magnoliopsida; Sapindales; Anacardiaceae.